GAUGAACGCUGGCGGCGUGCCUAAUACAUGCAAGUCGAGCGGUAAGGCUCUGCACCUAUUAUUUGAUCGAGGUAACUCCGGUUACUACAGCAAACCAAUUCAAACCUAGGCUAGGAGAGAUGAGGAGAGGGAAGAUCGAGUAAUGUGUGUAGAGUACACGAGCGGCGGACGGCUGAGUAACGCGUAGGAACGUACCCCAAAGUGAGGGAUAAGCACCGGAAACGGUGUCUAAUACCGCAUGUGGUCUUCGGAUUAAAGCUUCGGCGCUUUGGGAGCGGCCUGCGUAUGAUUAGUUUGUUGGUGAGGUAAUGGCUCACCAAGGCUUCGAUCAUUAGCUGGUCUGAGAGGAUGAUCAGCCAGACUGGGACUGAGAACGGCCCAGACUCCUACGGAGGCAGCAGUAGGGAAUUUUCCACAAUGGACGAAAGUCUGAUGGAGCAACGCCGCGUGCAGGAUGAAGGCUUUCGGGUCGUAAACUGCUUUAUAUGUGACGAUUUU
RNAcentral lists this ribosomal RNA (498 nucleotides) under uncultured bacterium. Its description in RNAcentral is "bacterial SSU rRNA". It matches the Rfam family "Bacterial small subunit ribosomal RNA", at positions 28 to 452 of the family's 1533-position model. The record is from RNAcentral.